Molecule: non-coding RNA, 70 nt
Organism: Podarcis lilfordi (Lilford's wall lizard)
Lineage: Eukaryota; Metazoa; Chordata; Lepidosauria; Squamata; Lacertidae
Source: the annotation of a GenBank genome assembly
GACGGAUAGCUUAGUUGGUAAAGCAGGAGACUUAAUCUCAGGGUUGUGGGUUUGAGCCCCACGUUGGGCA